Molecule: ribosomal RNA, 717 nt
Filed under: Triticum aestivum (bread wheat)
Lineage: Eukaryota; Viridiplantae; Streptophyta; Magnoliopsida; Poales; Poaceae
Description: partial small subunit ribosomal RNA
Source: RNAcentral
AUGAAACUGAUGCUUCGCAAUUGCCCUACUCAUGGUUUGAAUUUAUGGAUGAUCAUACAAAAUUUUUAUGCCGGUUUGAACUUUGCUUCUAGGAAUAUCUUAGAUUCGGCCGCGGGAGGCACCUUUAUGGAAAUCACGUUAGGAGAUGCUACAAAACUUCUUGAUAAUAUUAUGGCUAAUUAUUCUCAAUGGCACACCGAAAGAUCUUCUAGUAAAAAAGUGCGUGCUAUAGAAGAAAUCAAUGUUUUGAGUGGUAAGAUGGAUGAACUUAUGAAGAUGUUUGCUACUAAAAAUACUCCUCUUGAUCCUAAUGAUAUGCCUUUGUCUUCCUUGAUUGAGAAUAAUAAUGAAUCUAUGGAUGUGAAUUUUGUUGGUAGGAAUAGUUUUGGAAACAAUGCUUAUAGAGGAAAUUUUAAUGCUAGACCGUUCCCUAGUAAUUCCUCUAAUAAUUAUGGAAAUUCCUACAAUAAUCCUUAUGGUAAUUUUAAUAAGACGCCCUCUGAUUUUGAGAAUAGUGUGAAAGAAUUUAUGAUUUCUCAAAAGAGUUUUAACACUUUGCUUGAAGAAAAAUUGCUCAAAGUUUAUGAUUUGGCUAGGAACGUUGAUAGACUUUCGCUUGAUGUUGAUUCUAUUAAACAUAGACCUUCUCCUCCUAAGCAUGACAUCAAUGAGUCUCUCAAAGUAAUGAGAAUUUCCAUUGACGAGUAUAAGGAAUGA